CUUCGAGCACCCGACGGCCGUGUGUGGCCAGCAGCUGCCCAUCUCCCAGCGUAACUCCAGACAGAAUUGAAUGCCCUGGAGAAAAGGGGAAACAGCACAGCAGGAGCCAAGCCUGCAGGCUGAGUCUACCAGAAAUGAAUGUCAAAUUGGAGAUGCAUUAACAACCCCCGCAGUACACUUCGCCCUGCCUUUCCCUGGGCUCUCUUGGACUCUAUGUGGAGAAGAGACACGUAGCUUAAAAGGUCACCCAAGACAUAAGUGGUAACAACCGGCAAUCCUAUAAUAAAAGGUGAGACAAUGGCUCUGUUCACACCCGCCGUGGGAAUCCCUUUAAGAUCAGUGUCCAUGAGCUUUACCUCGCAACUCUUCCAAGAUCAUAACCAAAGCCUGUUACAGCGGCGGAGGGUAACAGUCAGACAGGACCAAGCUGAAGGUACUCUUUAUCACCCUGACUUCAAGUAACUGUGAAGCACACCUCUCACCUGAGC
This 488-nucleotide long non-coding RNA is filed under the name Pan troglodytes (chimpanzee). RNAcentral's name for it is "lincRNA". Lineage: Eukaryota; Metazoa; Chordata; Mammalia; Primates; Hominidae. The record is from RNAcentral.